GUCAUUACAUCGUCCUCCUUACAUUGUCGAAAAUCAGCUCAAUUACAGCUUAGUCGUCGAGUUGGUUUGUCAAGGAAACAAUGCAAGCGUGGGUGUGUGCUUUACUGUUACACUAUUUGUUGGUUACGUCAGCUACGUCAUCGGAAGAAACAGUAUUAGGUAUCUACUUUGCAUGCUACAAUGUGAGUGACAAUGGAACAAGGUUUGUUGGCCCACAAUCAAUGACUGAAGGAGGAGAAAAACGUUCAGCAUUAGAUGGUGAAAAUAGAGUUUAUUGCAGAAAUACUGACAACUUUGGAAUUGAUGACCGUCUAAGAAAUUAGUUUUUAAAUAUUGACCAGUUGGUUAUUAUUAAAAAUGGCAUUUAUCUCUUUGAGUAAUUUAGUUUUUAAUACGUAAUUCUAUACUGUAUGUCAUGGAUUGUAAACUGUCUCUUCUUUUACUUUUACAUCAUAACACUCAGCA
Molecule: long non-coding RNA, 465 nt
Organism: Corticium candelabrum
Lineage: Eukaryota; Metazoa; Porifera; Homoscleromorpha; Homosclerophorida; Plakinidae
Exons: 3
Source: RefSeq, a predicted model, not a curated record